ACUCAAAGGAAUUGACGGGGGCCCGCACAAGCGGUGGAGCAUGUGGUUCAAUUCGACGCAACGCGAAGAACCUUACCUAGGCUCGAAAGUGCUGGAAGUCCGCUGAAAGGUGGAUGUGCCGCAAGGAACCAGUAUCCAGGUGCUGCAUGGCUGUCGUCAGCUCGUGUCGUGAGAUGUUAGGUUAAGUCCUGCAACGAGCGCAACCCUUGCUACUAGUUGCCAACAUUCAGUUGGGCACUCUAGUGGGACUGCCGGUGUGAAACCGGAGGAAGGUGAGGACGACGUCAAGUCAUCAUGGCCCUUAUGUCUAGGGCUACACACGUGCUACAAUGGCCGGUACAAAGGGUUGCCAACUCGCAAGAGGGAGCCAAUCCCAAAAAACCGGCCUCAGUACAGAUAAGUGUCUGCAACUCGACACUUUGAAGUCGGAAUCGCUAGUAAUCGCUGAUCAGCAAGCAGCGGUGAAUACGUUCCCGGGCCUUGUACACACCGCCCGU
Molecule: ribosomal RNA, 497 nt
Filed under: uncultured bacterium
Lineage: Bacteria
Description: partial 16S ribosomal RNA
Rfam family: Bacterial small subunit ribosomal RNA
Source: RNAcentral